RNAcentral lists this ribosomal RNA (406 nucleotides) under uncultured bacterium. Its description in RNAcentral is "partial 16S ribosomal RNA". It matches the Rfam family "Bacterial small subunit ribosomal RNA", at positions 29 to 526 of the family's 1533-position model. The record is from RNAcentral.
AUUGAACGCUGGCGGCAGGCCUAACACAUGCAAGUCGAACGAGUGGCGGACGGGUGAGUAAUGUCUGGGAAACUGCCUGAUGGAGGGGGAUAACUACUGGAAACGGUAGCUAAUACCGCAUACCAUCGGAUGUGCCCAGAUGGGAUUAGCGAGUAGGGGGGGUAAAGGCUAACCUAGGCGACGAUCCCUAGCUGGUCUGAUAGGAUGACGCGCCAAACUGGAACUGAGACACGGUACAGACGCCUACGGGAGGCAGCAGUGGGGAAUAUGGCACAAUGUGCGCAAGACUGAUGCAGACAUGCCGAGUGUAUGAAGAAGGCCUGCGGGUUGUAAAGUACUUUCAGCGGGGAGGCGUUACCCGCAGAAGAAGCACCGGCUAACUCCGUGCCAGCCGCCGCGGUAAUAC